Molecule: ribosomal RNA, 253 nt
Filed under: uncultured bacterium
Lineage: Bacteria
Description: partial 16S ribosomal RNA
Rfam family: Bacterial small subunit ribosomal RNA
Source: RNAcentral
UACGUAGGGUGCGAGCGUUGUCCGGAAUUAUUGGGCGUAAAGAGCGUGUAGGCGGCCCCUUAAGUCCUGCGUGAAAUCCUGCGGCUCAACCGCAGACGGUCGUGGGAAACUGGAGGGCUAGAGUGCGGGAGAGGAGAGUGGAAUUCCCGGUGUAGCGGUGAAAUGCGCAGAUAUCGGGAAGAACACCCGUGGCGAAGGCGGCUCUCUGGAACGCAACUGACGCUGAGACGCGAAAGCGUGGGGAGCAAACAGG